GAUGAACGCUGGCGGCGUGCUUAAUACAUGCAAGUCGAACGAGAAACUUUUGUCUUCGGAUAGAGGUUUUCUAGUGGCGAACGGGUGAGUAACGCGUUGGUGACCUGCCCCGAAGUGGAGGAUAACAGUUCGAAAGGACUGCUAAUACCGCAUAAUAUCUUGGUAGUUAGAGAGCCGAGAUGAAAAAGGAGAAAUCCGCUUUGGGAGGGACCUGCGUCCCAUCAGCUAGUUGGUAGGGUAAAGGCCUACCAAGGCGAAGACGGGUAGGGGGCCUGAGAGGGUCGACCCCCCACACUGGCACUGAAACACGGGCCAGACACCUACGGGUGGCAG
This 333-nucleotide ribosomal RNA is filed under the name uncultured Chloroflexota bacterium. RNAcentral's name for it is "bacterial SSU rRNA". It matches the Rfam family "Bacterial small subunit ribosomal RNA", at positions 28 to 351 of the family's 1533-position model. The record is from RNAcentral. Lineage: Bacteria; Bacillati; Chloroflexota.